This 649-nucleotide long non-coding RNA is filed under the name Pan troglodytes (chimpanzee). RNAcentral's name for it is "lincRNA". The record is from RNAcentral. Lineage: Eukaryota; Metazoa; Chordata; Mammalia; Primates; Hominidae.
ACAAGUCUGUCUUCUCUUUAAUGCCUCAUUUGUCUUGGCACAAAGACACAUGAUUAGGCUCAGAGUGGCAUGUUUUGGCAAGGAGAGAAUGGGCAAGGGGUCAUCGAUGGACCGGAGAUGGGAUGGUAGGGACGGAAACUGCAGGGUCCGCAGAAGGAACUGCUCACCGAAAGCCAACAAGCUUGCCCUGUGGAAUCCCAGAAAGGCCCAGGAACUUCGGGACAUCACUGAAGGCAGAGUGAAGAGAGGAAGAGAAGACAGAGAAAUGGAGGGGAGAAAACUAUUAAAAUAAGUAAUAAGAAAACUUUCCCCAGAAGUGCGGAAUCUGAAUUUCCAGUAUAAAAGGGUCCAUUGAGCGCCAAGAACAAUGAAGGAAAAAAGGUCCCACUCAGGCCUACGUAUCAUUGUGAAAUUUCAGAACUAGAGGGAUAAAGAAAAGAUCCUAAAAGCUUCCCGAGAGAUAAAAAAGAAGAUUUUUACAAAGGAUCAGCAAUCAGAAUUGCCUCAGACUGCUCAAUAAAAACAUCAGAAGCUAGAAGAAAAUAGAGCGAGGCAUCAAAAUCCUGAGGGAAAUGAUUCCCACCUAUAAUUUCAUAUUCUGCUCAAUUAUCAAUUGAGUAUUGAAGGGAAAUAAAGACAUUUUUAGACA